Molecule: ribosomal RNA, 253 nt
Filed under: uncultured bacterium
Lineage: Bacteria
Description: partial 16S ribosomal RNA
Rfam family: Bacterial small subunit ribosomal RNA
Source: RNAcentral
AACGUAGGAGACAAACGUUAUCCGGAGUUACUGGGCGUAAAGGGCGUGCAGGCGGUCUGUUAAGUUCGGCGUGAAAGCUCCCGGCUAAACCGGGAUAGGUCGUCGGAUACUGGCAGGCUAGAGGACAGUAGAGGCGGGUGGAAUUCCGGGUGUAGUGGUGAAAUGCGUAGAGAUCCGGAGGAACACCAGUGGCGAAGGCGACCCGCUGGGCUGUACCUGACGCUAAAACGCGACAGCAUGGGGAGCGAACGGG